RNAcentral lists this ribosomal RNA (1342 nucleotides) under Staphylococcus aureus. RNAcentral's name for it is "partial 23S ribosomal RNA". It matches the Rfam family "Bacterial large subunit ribosomal RNA", at positions 1050 to 2393 of the family's 2925-position model. The record is from RNAcentral. Lineage: Bacteria; Bacillati; Bacillota; Bacilli; Caryophanales; Staphylococcaceae.
AAAUAUAUGUUAAGUGGAAAAGGAUGUGGCGUUGCCCAGACAACUAGGAUGUUGGCUUAGAAGCAGCCAUCAUUUAAAGAGUGCGUAAUAGCUCACUAGUCGAGUGACACUGCGCCGAAAAUGUACCGGGGCUAAACAUAUUACCGAAGCUGUGGAUUGUCCUUUGGACAAUGGUAGGAGAGCGUUCUAAGGGCGUUGAAGCAUGAUCGUAAGGACAUGUGGAGCGCUUAGAAGUGAGAAUGCCGGUGUGAGUAGCGAAAGACGGGUGAGAAUCCCGUCCACCGAUUGACUAAGGUUUCCAGAGGAAGGCUCGUCCGCUCUGGGUUAGUCGGGUCCUAAGCUGAGGCCGACAGGCGUAGGCGAUGGAUAACAGGUUGAUAUUCCUGUACCACCUAUAAUCGUUUUAAUCGAUGGGGGGACGCAGUAGGAUAGGCGAAGCGUGCGAUUGGAUUGCACGUCUAAGCAGUAAGGCUGAGUAUUAGGCAAAUCCGGUACUCGUUAAGGCUGAGCUGUGAUGGGGAGAAGACAUUGUGUCUUCGAGUCGUUGAUUUCACACUGCCGAGAAAAGCCUCUAGAUAGAAAAUAGGUGCCCGUACCGCAAACCGACACAGGUAGUCAAGAUGAGAAUUCUAAGGUGAGCGAGCGAACUCUCGUUAAGGAACUCGGCAAAAUGACCCCGUAACUUCGGGAGAAGGGGUGCUCUUUAGGGUUAACGCCCAGAAGAGCCGCAGUGAAUAGGCCCAAGCGACUGUUUAUCAAAAACACAGGUCUCUGCUAAACCGUAAGGUGAUGUAUAGGGGCUGACGCCUGCCCGGUGCUGGAAGGUUAAGAGGAGUGGUUAGCUUCUGCGAAGCUACGAAUCGAAGCCCCAGUAAACGGCGGCCGUAACUAUAACGGUCCUAAGGUAGCGAAAUUCCUUGUCGGGUAAGUUCCGACCCGCACGAAAGGCGUAACGAUUUGGGCACUGUCUCAACGAGAGACUCGGUGAAAUCAUAGUACCUGUGAAGAUGCAGGUUACCCGCGACAGGACGGAAAGACCCCGUGGAGCUUUACUGUAGCCUGAUAUUGAAAUUCGGCACAGCUUGUACAGGAUAGGUAGGAGCCUUUGAAACGUGAGCGCUAGCUUACGUGGAGGCGCUGGUGGGAUACUACCCUAGCUGUGUUGGCUUUCUAACCCGCACCACUUAUCGUGGUGGGAGACAGUGUCAGGCGGGCAGUUUGACUGGGGCGGUCGCCUCCUAAAAGGUAACGGAGGCGCUCAAAGGUUCCCUCAGAAUGGUUGGAAAUCAUUCAUAGAGUGUAAAGGCAUAAGGGAGCUUGACUGCGAGACCUACAAGUCGAG